RNAcentral lists this ribosomal RNA (169 nucleotides) under uncultured bacterium. Its description in RNAcentral is "partial 16S ribosomal RNA". It matches the Rfam family "Bacterial small subunit ribosomal RNA", at positions 338 to 524 of the family's 1533-position model. The record is from RNAcentral.
CCUACGGGAGGCAGCAGUCGGGAAUAUUGGACAAUGGGGGCAACCCUGAUCCAGCAAUACCGCGUGUGUGAAGAAGGCCUGCGGGUUGUAAAGCACUUUUAGUGGGGAAGAUAAUGACGUUACCCACAGAAAAAGCACCGGCUAACUCCGUGCCAGCAGCCGCGGUAAU